RNAcentral lists this long non-coding RNA (689 nucleotides) under Ananas comosus (pineapple). Its description in RNAcentral is "long non-coding RNA (ACOM_LNC039251)". The record is from RNAcentral. Lineage: Eukaryota; Viridiplantae; Streptophyta; Magnoliopsida; Poales; Bromeliaceae.
UAAAUAAACUAUUGUAUUUAGUUUAGGCAUUUGGUAAGGAAUCUGCAUGGCUAUUUGAAAAUCCGGAUAAUUAUCUGUAUAUCUAUUAAAGCUUCGAAAAUAUCUUAUUUAUCUUGUUUUUACUUUUAUUUUUUUAUUUUUUUUUUGAGAGAGAUAGGUAGCGCUUCAUUUAUUUCAUUUAGAAAUAAACUUAGCAAGAAAUGUGAAUCAACUAAGAUUCGAAUUUGGGUCUCAGGUACCAACCAUCAAGUCUUUUCUCACUUGCUCUAAGGACGGUCGGUUAUUAUUUUUUCUUUUCAAUGUACUCUAUGUACGUUUCUUCGUUAUUCAAAAAUAUUCUUACAGUUACUAUUUGUUAAGUUAACUUGGGUUAAACGUGAGUUGAAUAUUUAUUAAAGUUAAAAAAAAAAUCAAAAUGCCUAUUUUGACCUUAACUUAAGGAUAAAUAAAAAAAUAUUGAUAAUGAUAAAAGUGCAUAUUUGAAAAAGUAAAAAAAUAAAAUAUUUAUUGUGUCGCUAACUUAAAGGCUUGUAAGAAAAAUCGAAAAUGGUAAAAAAAUAUAUAUUUAAAAUAAAUUAGAAAGUAAAAAAAAAAAUUUUUAGUAUUGGCUUCUAAAAAAGAUAAAUUAAAAAGUCGGAAAUAUUUCAAAAGUAUAUAAGCAAUUUUUCCUUGAAAAUAUAGAAAAAAAA